Molecule: non-coding RNA, 1650 nt
Organism: Cucurbita pepo subsp. pepo (vegetable marrow)
Lineage: Eukaryota; Viridiplantae; Streptophyta; Magnoliopsida; Cucurbitales; Cucurbitaceae
Source: RefSeq, a predicted model, not a curated record
UUCAAUCUUAUGGUAUUAUGAUUCAUACUUCAGUGAAAGCGCGGCUGAUAAUUGAUUGUAGAUUCGCUAUGGAUUCUUAUGAGGUGACUGAUUCAUCUCCAUUUGUUUCGAUUUAUUGAUACAGACUUGUGCUAAAUUAAGAUCGAUUGAUUAUGCUUUGCCUGUGUGUUCCCAUUUUGAGGGUUCUCGUUGAGUUAUCGUAAGGUUUGGAAAAUUUAUUAGCUAAUGAUCCGGAAAAGACUUCGCCCAAAUGCGAUUACUGCUAGAACCAUGAUUGAUUCGUUAUGUAAAUAAGAGAUGGGAAGAUUGAAGAAGCUCAUUGAUUAAUGCAAGAGAUGGAAAACAUGGGUUUGAAGUCAUAUCCUGAGAGCUUUAAUCUGUGUGCUAUAUCAGGACAUUCAGAAGAAAGCUUGAGAAUGUGUGUGAAAAUGUUAGGAAGAGGGUUUCUUCCCAGUUGUUAAGCUUUCAAUGUGGCAAUAGCUAAGAUUUGUGAGGGAGGAGAUGUGAAAAAUGUUAGAAAUCACGAACUUUCGCAAUGGUAUGAUAUUGUCCACUUUGAGCAUAAGCUCUCGUGCCUUUGCUUUUGGGUUCCCCAAAAAGUCUUAUACCAAUGGAGAUGUAUUUCUUAUGAUCAUCCCCUUAAUUAGUCAACGUGAGACUCCCUUGCAACAAUCCUCCCCUCAAACAAAGUACACCAUGGAGCCUCCCCUAAGGCUUAUGGAGCCCUCGAACGGUCUCCCCUUCAUUGAGGCUCAACUCCUUUCUCUGGAGUCCACUUCCUUUUCUAGAGCCAUCAAACAAAAUACACCGUUUGUUCGAUACUUGAGUUACUUUUGACUACUCCUUCGAGGCUCACAACUUCUUUGUUCAACAUUUAAGGAUUCUAUUGACAUUGCUAAGUUAAGGGCAUGACUUUGAUAACAUGUUAGAGAUCACUAGCCUCCACAAUGGUAUGAUAUUGUCCACUUUGAACAUAAGCUCUCAUGACUUUGCUUUUGAUUUCUCAAAAGGCCUCAUACCAAUGGAGAUGUAUUCCUUAUUUAUAAACCCAUGAUCAUCCCCUUAGGACUCCGACUCAACAAUCCUCGACCAAAAAGGCUAAUGCAAUGUUAACCAUUUUGUUAGAUAAAAGGUUUUUUACCUGAUAAAACCACUUACACCAACCUAACCUUAGGGUAUAGGAAAAAGGGUGAAAUUCAGGAGAUUCUUAAGCUUUAUUAUGAAAUGGAAGCAAGAUUACUAUGUCCUGGAGUGUCAGUUUUCUUUGCACUCAUUGGGAGCCUUUGUCAAUCUGGGAAAUUGGAGGAAGCAGAGAAAUAUUUGAAGAUCAUGAAAGAUAGUUCUCUAACACCAAGUGUACCAAUAUAUCAAACACUAACCUUGUUCAACUUGAAGAAGGGUAAUCGAGCAAAAGCUCUAGAACUGUAUAAUGAGAUGAUGUUCAAUGGAUAGAAGAUUUUCUGUUUCCAAACAUGUGCAGGUUUUGACAUGGAACUGACCCGUUGAUCUGCACUUCCUCGGACAGAGUAAUUAACAUUUAAAGAAGCUACUCGUUCGAAAGAAAUCGAGCCAUUGGAGCAAAACAAAUGAUUUGAAGGAACGAUUCAAUUGGCCAAAAAAAUGGGUGAACAGAUAUCCAAUCAAGGAAGU